This 431-nucleotide ribosomal RNA is filed under the name uncultured bacterium. Its description in RNAcentral is "partial 16S ribosomal RNA". It matches the Rfam family "Bacterial small subunit ribosomal RNA", at positions 29 to 507 of the family's 1533-position model. The record is from RNAcentral.
AACGAACGCUGGCGGCAGGCCUAACACAUGCAAGUCGAGCGCCCUUACGGUGAAGCGGCGGACGGGCGAGUAGCGCGUGGGAAUAUGCUCUUCUCUACGUCAUAGCCUCGGGAAACUGAGAGUAAUACCGAAUAAGCCCUGUGGGGGAAAGGUAUAUCGGGUAAGGAUUAGCCCACGUUGGAUUAGGUAGUUGGUGGGGUAAUGGCCUACCAAGCCGACGAUCCAUAGCGGGGAUGAGAGGAAGAUCAGCCACACUUGGACUGGGACACGGCCCAGACUCUUACGCGAGGCAGCAGUGGGUGAUCCUGGACAAUGGGGUCAAUCCUGAUCUAGCCAGGCUGGGUGAGUGAUGAAGUCCGUAGAGAAGUAAAGCUCUUUAAGCUGGGACGAUAAUGACGGUACCAGCAGAAGAAGCCCCGGCUAACUCCGUG